AGAACGAACGCUGGCGGCAUGCCUAAUACAUGCAAGUCGAACGAACACUUCGGUGUUAGUGGCGCACGGGUGCGUAACGCGUGGGAAUCUGCCCUUGGGUUCGGAAUAACAGUUGGAAACGACUGCUAAUACCGGAUGAUAUCGAAAGAUACAAAGAUUUAUCGCCCAGGGAUGAGCCCGCGUAGGAUUAGCUAGUUGGUGAGGU
RNAcentral lists this ribosomal RNA (205 nucleotides) under uncultured soil bacterium. Its description in RNAcentral is "partial 16S ribosomal RNA". It matches the Rfam family "Bacterial small subunit ribosomal RNA", at positions 26 to 258 of the family's 1533-position model. The record is from RNAcentral.